CGAAUCCCCAGGGAUCUCGCGCCCAUGCCACUCCUCCCCCGCUAACCUCUCUCCCUAUUUUCCAACCGAUUUCCAGCUCACCUCACCGCUAGUAUUUUGUGUUUUCCUUGCCGUUUCGCGAGUCUUCCUCGCUCGCCCUCGCUCUAUAAAACCCGGCUGUCGCGCCACACCUGCUUCCACCAUUCUCGGAUUCCUCCGCAUUCGUUCGCUCCCAGCCUCACACUGCACCGAUCAACACCAGCGUCGUCUCAGACUUCUUCUUCUUCCUCUGUCUACUCGGUUGAUUCCUUUGACCCGUCGUUCGUUCGCUGGUCGGUGGUUUCAUCCAUCGUCCGGUCACAGGAGAAGAGCAGCCGGCGCCUCUUUUCGUUGCUUUCUAGCGACCCCUCCGAGUCCGACCUUCCAUGGCCAUCGCCUCCCGCAUCACGAAGCGCGCGCUCUCCACCUUCGCCGCCGCAGCCAAGCUCCCGGAGGCGGCCGUCGCGGCCGCCGGCGCCGAGGCGGUGCCCGCGCCGUCGUCCGCGCAGCACCAGCAGCAGCAGCAGGUCCUGGAGUUUGAGGACACCGAGAGGCUCUUCACCGGGGAGCCGUCCACGGCUCUGGUGCGCACGCUCGCGGCGCUGCAGUUGAUGUCCGCGGGCCCGCUGGUGGACGUGGGCCUCGCGGCGCUGCGGUCUCCGGCGGUGGCCGCCAGCCCCGUGGUCCAGGCCGCGGCGCGGGCCACGGCGUACAAGCACUUCUGCGCCGGGGAGACCGCCGAUGAGGCCGCGGCCCGGGUGCAGCGCCUCUGGCGCGGCGGCAUGGGCGGGAUCCUCGACUACGGCAUCGAGGACGCCGAGGACGGCGCCGCCUGCGACCGCAACGUCGCCGGCUUCCUCGCCGCCGUCGACGUCGCCGCCGCGCUGCCGCCGGGAUCGGUACGUCAACCGUACAUAACUCUGUUUUUUUUCCUUCGUCGUCAUCCGUGGCGUGCGUGCGCGCGUAGCAGUGCUACGGAAGAGUGCCACGUCGGAGGGAAUCCUCGGUCUGCGCUAGUGGACACCCGGAUUCCUUGGGAAUCUUCUCGCAGUAAACUGAAUCGCACGGCUGUCACUGUGCGUGGGCCCUGAAAACCAGCCGCGUGAUCGUGUUCCGACAAGCUCGCCAUCGCCAUGCCUUCUCCACCGCUCGUUUUCAUCUACAGCUUCCCAUCAAAACCCUACUAUUUGUUUUUCCUUAUUUAGACAUUUCCCAGCAGCUUAACCAAAAUAUUCAAAAAUAAUUAGCCAGUCUGAUUAAGCUUGGCACUCCUACUUUAGUACUACUUCCUCCGUUCCUAAAUAUUUGUUUUUUUAGAUAUUUCAAAUGGAUUACCGCAUACUGAUGUAUAUAGAUAUAUUUUAAAGUGUAGAUUCACUCAUUUUGCUAAAUAUUUAGGAACGGAGGAAGUAGUGACUAAUUAUGCUGUGUUUGUGCGUGCAGGCGAGCGUGUGUAUCAAGAUCACGGCGCUGUGCCCGAUCGCGUUGCUGGAGAAGACGAGCGACCUGCUGCGGUGGCAGCACAAGAACCCGUCGGUGCACCUGCCGUGGAAGCAGCACGCCUUCCCGAUCCUGUCCGACUCGAGCCCGCUGUACCUGACGCCGUCGGAGCCGGCGGCGCUGACGGCGGAGGAGGAGCACGAGCUGCAGCUGGCGCACGACCGGCUGCUGGCCGUGGGCGCGCGGUGCGCGGAGCACGACAUCCCGCUGCUGGUGGACGCCGAGUACGCGUCGGUGCAGCCGUCCAUCGACUACUUCACCUUCGUGGGCGCGCUGGCGUGCAACGGCGGCGGGCGACCCAUCGUGCACGGCACCGUCCAGGCGUACCUCCGCGACGCGCGCGACCGGCUGGAGGCCAUGGUGCGCGCGGCCGAGGAGGAGCGCGUGUGCCUCGGGGUCAAGAUCGUCCGCGGCGCCUACCUCACCCGGGAGGCCCGGCUGGCGGAGUCCCUGGGCGUGCCGUCGCCCAUCCACGGCAGCAUCCAGGACACCCACGACUGCUACAACGGCUGCGCGGCCUUCCUCCUGGAGCGCGUCCGCCGCGGGUCGGCGUCCGUGAUGCUGGCCACCCACAACGUGGAGUCCGGGCAGCUGGCGGCGGCGAGGGCGCAGGAGCUGGGCAUCGGCAAGGGCGACCGGAACCUGCAGUUCGCGCAGCUGAUGGGCAUGGCGGACGGGCUGUCCCUGGGGCUCCGCAACGCGGGGUUCCAGGUGAGCAAGUACCUGCCCUACGGCCCCGUGGAGCACAUCAUCCCCUACCUCAUCCGGCGGGCCGAGGAGAACAGAGGACUGCUCUCCGCUUCCGCCUUCGACCGGCAGCUGCUCCGGAAGGAGCUCGUCAGGAGGUUCAAGAACGCGGUGAUGGGACGGGAGUGAGGAGGCCGGCGGGAGGUUCACGUACGGGAGAGAAGCGACGGAGUUAGGAGUUGUAAAUAUGCAUUGUUGUAUCGCGACCUGAAUGAAUGGAAUAAACGAAAUAACGCUGUUGUUCAAUCGUCAGGCUCCGGUUCAGUACUGCACCAAGCUGUUAUUUUUGCCUUUUUGAAAAGAAGCACGUGCUGCUGUGUUUAUUUAUGUUUUCAUCUACGGAAAGGACCAGACACCUACAAACACAGUGAACCACCAAAUGGUCAUAUACUCUUUAUAAAUGCCUUGGUAGAUGGAUCGCAACGUUAC
Molecule: ribosomal RNA, 2694 nt
Filed under: Triticum aestivum (bread wheat)
Lineage: Eukaryota; Viridiplantae; Streptophyta; Magnoliopsida; Poales; Poaceae
Description: partial small subunit ribosomal RNA
Source: RNAcentral